Panicum virgatum (switchgrass) is the source of this 1016-nucleotide long non-coding RNA. RefSeq lists it as uncharacterized. NCBI's taxonomy places the organism in Eukaryota, Viridiplantae, Streptophyta, Magnoliopsida, Poales, Poaceae. The transcript is spliced from 4 exons. The record is from RefSeq and is a predicted model, not a curated record.
UGGAGUAUCCAUCCGCUAUUCACCCAGGCGGAGUGAAUGGCAUUCAGCCUCUCUCCCGCCGCGUCGUCUCGCAGUCGGAGGCCUAUCCGCGCCUCACACUCCACCUCCUCCGUCGUGUCCAGGCUCUCCACGGCGCCCUUACCUCUCGCUCGCGCUGGCUGGACACCGCCCGCUUGGAUCCCGCACAGAGCCGGCUCUAGGCACUAGGCCGUGCCAAAGGGCGCCGCGGGCCGCCUCCUCGCACACCACGAUGGCGGCGCGGACCAGCCCCUCGACCUCCGUGCUGGGGCAGCGGCCCCGAACGUCAGGAUGCUCAUGCAGCAAAGAACGGCGAGGCGAGGUCGCCAUGGUAGACAGGCCCAGGCGGCCGCCGGCCCGCGCGGAGGUCGCGGACGGGACGGGGCCCGGCGUCGACGCGCUCGUCGUGACGGGGGACGUGGUCGAGACCAGGGACAACUUCAAGCGCAGCAUGGGGGUGCUCAGGGCGCGGUUCGAGGCCGUCUUCUACGUGCCCGGGAACCACGACCUCUGGAUUCUCCCCUCUCCCUUCCUUGCCCUGCAACUGCAAGCAAGGUAGCAACACCACCAACUGAUCCGAGAGAAGUGACGACUAGGAGUGAAAAAAAAGUGCUUGGGACAGUACAGAAAACCAUGGCGACAACAACAAGAAGCAUGACAAACAGCAAAGAAAUAAGCUUAAAAUUAAAGAAUGAUCAAAGGGCUACACAUCUAACACCAAGGCACACAAACGGAAGGACAUUUUGGUGUGCAGGAAACGGCAAUGUCGACAGCUGCUUUCGCUAAGUUGCAGAAACAACUUUUGUUAACACACACUCUCACUAAGUAUCUUUUAGUUCAAUACAUAGAAAAAGAUAUACGAGGUGACAUCAGGUUUUACCAUACCUAACUUUUGCGCACGAAGAUUAUGUUAACUGCCUGUGCUAGGCCAUCGUAUAUGAAUUUCUGCAACGCCUAGACUGCAACCAAUAUGCUGUAUUACAACUCGCUGCCCACAA